CCAGCACCCCCAAUUCCCCAAAUUCCCAGUUCCCAGCCCGAACCAUCCGCUCCGCUUCGCUAUGGCGCUCUCGCUCGCGCGCAGCCCCAGCCCCGGCGCGGCGCUCCCCGCCGCGCGGGUUCCCCACUUUGCCCUUCCUCUCCUCCCGCUCCGCUCCCCUCGCCACCAGUGCCAGGCGCGCCUCCGCCUCCGCCUCCGCGUCGCGGCAUCCUCGCCCCCGGCGGCGCAGGCAGCCGCCGCCCCCGUGGUGGCGGAGGAGGAGGAGGAGCAGGGGGAGAAGCGGCGGAAGCUCUACGUGGCCAACCUGCCCUGGUCCUUCCCGGCGCCGGAGAUCGAGAAACUCUUCGCGCAGCACGGCACCGUCAAGGACGUCGAGGUCAUCAAGGGGAAGGAUGGCAGGAACAGGGGGUUCGCGUUCGUGACGAUGUCGACGACGGAGGAGGCAGCUGCGGCAGCUGAGAAGCUUAACUCCCAUGAUGUAAUGGGGCGGACAAUCAAGGUGGAGUUUUCAAGAAGCUUCAGAAAACCAGCUCCGCUUCCUCCCAUUAUAGAGAGGCACAAGCUUUACGUGUCCAAUCUUCCAUGGAAAGCAAGGGCUCCCAAUGUUAAAGAGUUCUUUGCAAAGUUUAACCCGCUUUCUGCUAACGUUAUAUUCGAUAAUGGAAAAGCAGCUGGGUAUUGUUUUGUUUCCUUUGGGACAAAAGAAGAAGCAGAGGCUGCUCUCACUGAGCUUGAUGGAAAGGAACUUAUGGGAAGACCUGUACGCUUGUAUUGGCGGGAAAGUGGUGAUGAUAAGGUUGAAGUUGCAAAGGCCGACAGUGAAGUUGAAGUUGUAAAUAUUGAAGGAGCAAGCGUUGAUGAUGCCAGCACAGAUGGAGGUGAAGAUAAACAGGAAUAGUCAAACAUACUAUACUGGCCUACAGGAAGAAAGCUCCAUCCGCCUUAUUGAUAUAAACACAGAUGUGGAACUUUGUUGUACAGUUACAAGUUUUUUUCUGACACUCCCUGAUCUAGUGCCUGCCUUUUUUAUAUCUGGAUGCGGAAUAAGAGGUGGCAAUCAUAACCAACACUCAAUUAUUAUUGUCUGCCUUGGUCCUGCUAAGGUAAAGGUCAACAAAAGGCAUUAAAACUUCAGGUGAAGUAAUGUCCUUGUAGCUUGCAAUUGUAUUCAAAUUCAGUUAUGUUAUUGUGACAAUAUUGUACUUAUUUAUAUUACAUAAUGGAUGAAGUUUCUCCUGUUGACACA
Molecule: RNA transcript, 1246 nt
Organism: Sorghum bicolor (sorghum)
Lineage: Eukaryota; Viridiplantae; Streptophyta; Magnoliopsida; Poales; Poaceae
Gene name: 28 kDa ribonucleoprotein, chloroplastic
Exons: 5
Source: RefSeq, a predicted model, not a curated record